Molecule: long non-coding RNA, 397 nt
Organism: Clupea harengus (Atlantic herring)
Lineage: Eukaryota; Metazoa; Chordata; Actinopteri; Clupeiformes; Clupeidae
Source: Ensembl
CUCUAUUGUGUUAUGCUUUUCUUCACACCCUCGAAAGCAUUGGCUAACUUUACAUCCUUCGAGACCCAUCGGACGCUCAACAGGCCACCGACGAACUUCAGCUGACGGACAUGCAAUCUUCCUCGAACCUACUCCGCGCUGUUCAACGGAAGACCGCAAAACACCGUUGAUCGCUAAGCAAGAGCGAUCCAAGGUUGUUGAGAUUUUGCAGUUAACCAUGGAUAUAAUACUUGAAAAGAAGAUCAUUCUAACCGAGAUCCUGUCUGCUGAAACAGCUUUUAUUCUCCAACAUGUUCAGCAGAACAAACUCAUCACAGAUCGUGACUACAGUGCUCUUAAAAGCCUUCCUCCAAACACUGAGAUGAUGUCUGGUGAAGUGCUGGAUAAACUGAGAGAC